GUGUGUGUAAUUUAAAAAAAAUAUUAGGCCGUGACCCUAAUCAUAGGAAUUACACCUCACACACC
Molecule: transfer RNA, 65 nt
Filed under: Dryophiops rubescens
Lineage: Eukaryota; Metazoa; Chordata; Lepidosauria; Squamata; Colubridae
Description: tRNA-His
Source: RNAcentral